RNAcentral lists this ribosomal RNA (354 nucleotides) under bacterium LimB-100-A-386. RNAcentral's name for it is "bacterial SSU rRNA". It matches the Rfam family "Bacterial small subunit ribosomal RNA", at positions 289 to 634 of the family's 1533-position model. The record is from RNAcentral. RNAcentral also lists the same sequence under 1 other name.
GACCUGAGAGGGUGAUCGGCCACACUGGGACUGAGACACGGCCCAGACUCCUACGGGAGGCAGCAGUAGGGAAUCUUCCGCAAUGGACGAAAGUCUGACGGAGCAACGCCGCGUGAGUGAUGAAGGUUUUCGGAUCGUAAAGCUCUGUUGUUAGGGAAGAACAAGUGCCGUUCAAAUAGGGCGGCACCUUGACGGUACCUAACCAGAAAGCCACGGCUAACUACGUGCCAGCAGCCGCGGUAAUACGUAGGUGGCAAGCGUUGUCCGGAAUUAUUGGGCGUAAAGGGCUCGCAGGCGGUUUCUUAAGUCUGAUGUGAAAGCCCCCGGCUCAACCGGGGAGGGUCAUUGGAAACU